Molecule: RNA transcript, 1483 nt
Organism: Glycine soja
Lineage: Eukaryota; Viridiplantae; Streptophyta; Magnoliopsida; Fabales; Fabaceae
Gene name: 50S ribosomal protein L4, chloroplastic-like
Exons: 3
Source: RefSeq, a predicted model, not a curated record
GAUAGGAAUGAGAUAGAAUAGAGCAUAACUUUCACUCCCUACACUCUCAGUCUGAGAAGCAGUAAAAGAAAAUGGCUUCACUUUCCCUCUCCACACCAACCUCUCUUUCCUUCGCAUCAUCCUCCAUCUUCUUCUCUUCACACCAAUUCCACACUUUCUCUUCUUCCAAAUCCAACAACAAGUUUCCCAUUUUACCCUCCAAAAAACCCCUAUCCAUUUCCUGCAAGGCCUCCCCUCCUCUUCCCGUCCUCAACUUCUCCGGCGAGAGGGUCGGCGAGUCCUUUCUCGACCUCCGCUCCGCCCCUCCCGACACCGCCCGCGCCGUCGUCCACCGCGCCGUCGUCACCGACUUGCAGAACAAGCGCCGCGGCACCGCCUCCACCCUCACCCGCGGCGAGGUCCGCGGCGGCGGCCGCAAGCCCUUCCCACAGAAGAAGACCGGCCGCGCCCGCCGCGGCUCCAACCGCACGCCCCUCCGCCCCGGCGGAGGCGUCGUCUUCGGCCCGAAGCCCCGCGACUGGUCUAUCAAGAUCAACCGCAAGGAGAAGCGCCUCGCCAUCUCCACCGCCGUCGCAAGCGCCGCCGCCAGUGCCGUCGUGGUGGAGGACUUCGCGACGGAGUUCGCGGAGAAGCCGAAGACGAAGGAGUUCAUCGCGGCAAUGAAGCGGUGGGGGCUUGAUCCGAAGGAGAAGGCGAUGUUCUUGAUGACGGAGGUGCCGGAGAACGUGAGGCUUUCCAGCAGGAACAUUGGGACCUUGAAGAUGCACACGCCGAGGACGCUGAAUUUGUAUGAUAUUCUUGACGCGGAUAAGCUCGUGCUCACGCAGGGUGCUGUGGAUUACUUGAAUCAGAGGUAUGGGGGUGAUCAUGAAGGGAGUGAUGAUGAAGAUGAAGAAGAAGAAGAAUAUGAAGAGGGUGAGGAGGAAGGUGCAGUGAAUGGUGAAGAAGGACCUGACGAAGAGGAUGGUAAUGUGGUAAAUUGAGGGUUUAAAGUCUUCUUUGUGCCAUUUUACAGAGGAAAUUGCUGAUACAGGGGAUGGAAGGUACAAUCUCUAUCAUGAAUGAGCUUCAUGUGUGGAGUAUGUACUCCAUUAUGGUGCAGUAGGAGGUAGGGAACAAUUAUCCUUCAAAUACAUCUAUAUUAUCACAAAAAACAAAUAUAGUUGAGUUAGUGAAUAAAUCAGUUAAUGGUUACAAUACUAAAAAGUUUCUUAAGAAGAUAUUGUAUGUUAGCACAAAGUGAUUUUUGUUAACAAAUCCAAUUGCAAUAAGACAUUGAUGUGUCACAGAUGAUGUCAAACUCUUGAGUAGAAAGAAAGUCCAACUUUGGAGCAUAGAUAAGGAAACUAAGACAAUAUUGUAUUGACUAGCAAUGACAUAACUCAUGUCAGGAAUGAUCAUUCACUUGUCAACGAAUGUUAUUCGGGAACAUACAAAGAAUUUAAUAAUUUAACCAAUCUGUUGAUAAGUGUUAUGUUGUUAA